UUUUAUCAGCUGUUAGGACUCAUUCUGACGGCACCCAUUAAUUGCUGUGGAUCCAUUGGUAAGCAAGUGAUGCAAUGCUACAUUCUCCAAAUCUGUUCCGAUUACGAAACUCACCUACAUGGUCUGAGGGUGAGUGCAUUCUUAGCAAACUUUCAUUUUUGGAUGAACUAUUCCUUAAAGAUUUGAGAAACCCAUUAGUGAGCAAUUCAUCAUAUAAACAAAAAGUUCUUCUCUGAUUCUUAUGCUCUAGUUAAAGUUUUAAUAUUAAAUCUGUUUCGCAUGUUGUUUUGAUCAUGCUGCUUGCAUAUUAUUUCAUAUCUGUCCCGUGAGAGAACUAGUGAGACCACCUUCUUCGCGCGCAUUUUAAAAGCGUGCACCCAUGUGCGCUCUCGUGCACUCGUGUACAUGUCAGCUAUGGCUCUGUUCUUUUUCUUGUAACUUCAUUUACUGAUACUCUCAUCACUCAUGAAUAUUUCUGAGAGCAGAGCGGGUCUCGGCACCGUGGUGCCUCUUACUAGUUUAGAGAACGUGCUUUUGUUUCUCUUCAAUGUAAUUCUCGCCACCGCCAUUAUUUUUAUUAACGUCUCUGUGUUUGUUUCCAUCAUGAUGAACAGAUCUCUGCGAAACGAGAACCGCUUCAUGUACAUGCUCAGCACGUGUCUCAGUGACAUCUGCACGGGCGUCUCUUAUUAUUAUGCUGGAGUUAUGGAUGUACGCGAUUCUUAUGACUCCCCGACUCGCACUUUCUACAUCGUUCCCACUUUUCUGGGUCUGUCCUAUAUGGCGAUUCUGGCCGCGCAAGCGGACCGCUACCACGCGGUCUCAGCGCCUUUUAAAUACUCGCAGCGCAUGACGCGAAACAGAACCCUGCUGGUGAUUCUGGCCUACUGGGUUUAUGCUUUUCUGAUAGUUGCUGUUAAUAAUUUGGUUACUUUGGGGGUUGCUAAAAGAGUUACGGGCUUUGGCACUUUUGUGGCGAACAUUUUCACCGUCAUUAUCAUGAUUGGGCUGAACGUCAGGCUCUUCUUUGUCGCUAAAUUUCAGCUAGAACGCGAACCACCGAGCGCAGAACGCGACAACAAGCGCGCGUCCAUUUAUCUCAUCAUAAUAGUAGCCGUGUGUUUUCUGAUCGCGUGGUUACCCAUUUUUCUUCAUAUUAUUGCGUGUAAUUUCGCGGGGUCUACGUGCUAUACGUUCAGAAAUGAGGGUUCAGACCCCCUGCGCAUUUUGCCACGUGUGAAUGCAGUUCUGACCCCUUUAUUGUAUAUCAGAGGCUGUUCAGCACUUAGGAGCACACUACUAAGUAAAGUCUGGAGACCCGCGUGCUGCAAGAGGAAAGGUGUGAACCCCCUGUCCAUGGAGAAGAAUGGAGGUGUCGUUUUCAAGAUGUGA
Long non-coding RNA from Cyprinus carpio carpio, 1392 nucleotides. The record is from Ensembl. NCBI's taxonomy places the organism in Eukaryota, Metazoa, Chordata, Actinopteri, Cypriniformes, Cyprinidae.